UGUCCAGCAAGUCUGUGCUUGAGAACCCCUAAAUGCAGGCCGAACUGGUUCGCUCCGGUGCACCCGGAAUGCAGGUCAAUGCGCUGUCAGCUCCAGCACAGCUCAGACGUCUGCUCCUUCUGCUCUGCGUCCCGCCUUGGCUCCUGUCCUGGCCCCAGGCGCCCCCGUCGAGUGCCUCCCAGCGGCUGCGCCUUUCUCCCUCUCGGAGGUCCAGUAGAAGCCAUGGCCACCAGGGUCUUCCGAGUUUCACAUCCCACUUUCUCCUCUAGAGGUGAACUGAAUCUCUCCAGAGCCAGGGCAAGAGUUGCCAAGGAACAAGCUGUCACAGAAAGGAGCAAGCCGCCUGAAGUCAGUCUGGGCGGGAAGGCGGCACCAAGGAAUCAGCAGACCCUGCAGACCGGGUUUCUUUUCUCAUCAGCAACCUGAUUGGUAAGUAUUUGGCAUCAUUUCCCCGGAUACUACCUUAAAACAUUAAGGGGAUAAACAUUAUUUGAAAGUCUAUACAAGGACUUUCAGGAG
RNAcentral lists this long non-coding RNA (519 nucleotides) under Chinchilla lanigera (long-tailed chinchilla). Its description in RNAcentral is "lncRNA (ENSCLAG00000024331.1)". Lineage: Eukaryota; Metazoa; Chordata; Mammalia; Rodentia; Chinchillidae. The record is from RNAcentral.